AUUGAACGCUGGCGGCAUGCCUUUCACAUGCAUGACGAACGGUAACAGGUUAAGCUGACGAGUGGCGAACGGGUGAGUAAUAUAUCGGAACGUGCCCAGUCGUGGGGGAUAACGUCGCGAAAGCUACGCUAAUACCGCAUACGAUCUACGGAUGAAAGCGGGGGCUCGCAAGACCUCGCGCGAUUGGAGCGGCCGAUAUCAGAUUAGGUUGUUGGUGAGGUAAAAGCUCACCAACACUGCGACCUGGAGCUGGUCUGAGAGGACGACCAGCCACACGAGAACUGAGACACGGUCCAGACUCCUACGGGAGGCAGCAGUGGGGAAUUUUGGACAAUGGACGCAAGUCUGAUCCAGCAAUUCCGCGUGCAGGACGAAGGCCUUAGGGUUGAAAACUGCUUUUGUGCGGAACGAAACGGUGAGCUCUAAUACAGUUUGUUAGUGACGGUACCGUAAGAAUAAGCACCGGCUAACUACGUGCCAGCGGCCGCGGUAA
This 493-nucleotide ribosomal RNA is filed under the name uncultured bacterium. Its description in RNAcentral is "partial 16S ribosomal RNA". It matches the Rfam family "Bacterial small subunit ribosomal RNA", at positions 30 to 523 of the family's 1533-position model. The record is from RNAcentral.